AAUUUACUAUGAAAGAUUAAAGGAAGAUGUAGAAAGAUAUACCAUUUUCCAUAUUUAAGACAAGAAAACCUCGUUUGCUAAUUUGUCAGUUUUUCUCUAAUUGAUCUACAGAAUAAAAAAAAUUAAAAUGGUUUUCUGACACAAAAUCCUAUGUGGAAACAUAAAGAUCUUUAAUAGCCAAAACAACUUUGAAAACAAAGUGCAAGUUUAAAAGACUAACACUAGCUAAUUUUAGUUUCUUUUUAAAGCUAUAGGAUUCACUUCCAUGUUUUAUCGGCAUCAAGCUAAACAAAUGAAUUGUUGAAAUAGAAUAGAGGGACCAAACACAGACCCAAGUAUCUAAGCUUUAACAUUGGAAACAAUCCAAUAUCCAUUAGCAAGUGAAGGGAUGAAACUGUGGUGUCACAUACUACUCAGGACUAAAAUCACAGUGACUGGCAAAA
This 443-nucleotide long non-coding RNA is filed under the name Callithrix jacchus (white-tufted-ear marmoset). Its description in RNAcentral is "lncRNA (ENSCJAG00000081898.1)". The record is from RNAcentral. Lineage: Eukaryota; Metazoa; Chordata; Mammalia; Primates; Cebidae.